Molecule: ribosomal RNA, 263 nt
Filed under: uncultured bacterium
Lineage: Bacteria
Description: partial 16S ribosomal RNA
Rfam family: Bacterial small subunit ribosomal RNA
Source: RNAcentral
CCCUUGGCUCAACCAGAAGGGCAUUUGAAACUGUCUGGCUUGAUACGGGAGGGGGAAGUGGAAUUCCCGGUGUAAAGUGAAAUUUGUAGAUAUCGGGAGGAACACCGGUGGCGAAGGCGGCUUCCUGGACCGAUACUGACGCUGAGACGCGAAAGCGUGGGGAGCAAACAGGAUUAGAUACCCUGGUAGUCCACGCUGUAAACGUUGGGCACUAGGUGUUGUGGGUAUUGACCCCUGCAGUGCCAAGGGCGAAUUCCACAGUG